RNAcentral lists this long non-coding RNA (383 nucleotides) under Gossypium raimondii (Peruvian cotton). Its description in RNAcentral is "long non-coding RNA (GRAI_LNC009243)". The record is from RNAcentral. Lineage: Eukaryota; Viridiplantae; Streptophyta; Magnoliopsida; Malvales; Malvaceae.
GGCUAGAAAUGAACCACACGUGUGGCCCAACACAGGCCUUACACGACCGUGUUCCCUUUUAAAAACCCUAAUCCCAUUUUAUUUUUUUACUUUACUUUGUCUUCUUCCUCAAAUCCCUAGCCGCCACUCACCCCCAACAACCCCUCUCUUCGGUCACUGUCGUUCUGCACCGCCUCACUUCCUCGCUACACACCUUCGCCCUUACCACUUCCCCUCCCCAAGUCGUCCCCUCUCCUCUCCCUUUUUCCUUCUUCUUUUUCCCUUCUUUUUUUCUCUCCUCCCUCACCUCUCCCCCACGCCCUACUAGCACUUCACCCUCAUUCAAACACCAUCGCACCACCGUCCUCUCCCCAUCACUGUCACCUCCAUUCCCUCCGGUCACC